CUUAAAGUAAAACAGUUCACUCUUCACUUUGGCAAUGCGAGGCUCUUUAAAACUAUUUCUCCAAGCGGUAAGUGGCGUCUUAUUUCUAGGACCGCUAGCUAUUGGUCAAAGCUGGGGAGGCUGUCAUCAGUGUCCCGCUAACGAGACUUUGUAUUAUAAAAAUCCCAGCCAUAGUUUAGCAAUUCAAACUUUCCCUUGCUGUUGCCCAUCUACAAGGAUCAAAAUUCAGCUUCAUUAUUCCCCUUACAGUCAUGCAUUGGUGUUGUACGACGAAACAAAUCUUUAAAAUAUAAAUUAAAAAGGUGGUGGAUUAAUAUGCCGUCAAGACACAAUUAAAGAGUGCGUGGACAGAUGUGGGAACUUCAGGACCAGACAUUGUGGCUGCGACUCAGGAAGAAAAUGCGUUUCUGCCAUCCGAAGGCAGACUUGCAAUUUAUUUUUAGAAACGCCAAUUGCGGAAAUGGAAAUCAGUUUCGGUGCAGAACAUUCCGACCCAAGGAAUUGCCCAACUGAUUUUUCACGAUGCCACCGAUGCGAAAAUUUUCCGUCAAAUGAAUGCUAUUUGCUUAACGUUUCAAAGAUACAUUAAAAUUGGAUGCAGCGCUGCUGGCUUUCUUGAAUUAUAUAACCCAUCCACGGGAAUCCCUUACUGCCCGGCUUCCUUUACGUCAUUAGACCAUUCGUCCAUUCAAUCUAGCAAAAGGACGUGGUGCAAGCAGUUGGGUCUUGAUGGCACCAAACCUGAAUCAACGACAUUUUCAUCCACAGUGCCAGUUUUUGGAGAAACAACAACUCCUAUAGAAUCUACCCUAUCAAGCCAUCAAACCAGUGAUGAUUUAAAAACGACCACUACUGCUAAUCUUGCAGAUUCAGAUUCUACAGAACCAAGCUCGAACCAAGCAUCAACCAAGUCCUCCAGUUUCAAAUUCAGCAGCACUGAAAUAAUCGUUGGUGGUGGUUUAGCUUUGUUGUUGCUUGUCGUCGGAAUCGCUGCCUGGUGGAUUAUCAAAAGGCGAAAAGCUCCCGCGGAAAUCAAUGAAUUUGAACUUGAGGAGAUUAAUGAACUGUAUGGAGUCUUGCCAAAUAAUAAAAUUAAAAAUGAAGCACUCCCAGAUGACGUCAUGAUUGAAAAUGAUAUGUAUGGUGUCUUGUCAAGUGCAGAAAGAAAAUAGAUAUUUGUAUUUGUUAAUUUGUAAUUAAUUAUUUUUCUUUGCAUUUAAACAUUUUUAACAUAUUCCAAAAAUAUAAUCCAUUAAACACAAUU
Neocloeon triangulifer is the source of this 1264-nucleotide long non-coding RNA. RefSeq lists it as uncharacterized. Lineage: Eukaryota; Metazoa; Arthropoda; Insecta; Ephemeroptera; Baetidae. The record is from RefSeq and is a predicted model, not a curated record. The transcript is spliced from 5 exons.